Molecule: ribosomal RNA, 254 nt
Filed under: uncultured bacterium
Lineage: Bacteria
Description: partial 16S ribosomal RNA
Rfam family: Bacterial small subunit ribosomal RNA
Source: RNAcentral
UACGGGGGGAGCAAGCGUUGUUCGGAUUUACUGGGCGUAAAGGGCGCGUAGGCGGCCAGUGCAAGUCAGUUGUGAAAUCUCCGAGCUUAACUCGGAAAGGUCAACUGAUACUGCUCGGCUAGAGUGCGGAAGGGGCAACUGGAAUUCUUGGUGUAGCGGUGAAAUGCGUAGAUAUCAAGAGGAACACCUGCGGCGAAGGCGGGUUGCUGGGCCGACACUGACGCUGAGGCGCGAAGGCUAGGGGAGCGAACGGG